AGAAGGUGCAUAUGUUCACCGGGGGAGACAGCAAGGGCCACCCUGAGCAGCCUAUUAUCACAAAAAUGUUGGAGAAGCUAGGUGGAAUUUUAAGCGAAACUGGAUAUUGUCCCGAUGGCAGCUUUGUGCUUCAUGAUGUGGACGAGGAAGAGAAGACGCAUAGCUUGGGUUAUCAUAGUGAAAAACUAGCUGUAGCAUACGGACUCCUAAAAGUGCCUGAAGAGAGAAGACGCAUAGCUUGGGUUAUCAUAGUGAAAAACUAGCUGUAGCAUACGGACUCCUAAAAGUGCCUGAAGGGAUGCCAAUUAGAGUUAUGAAAAAUUUGCGGGUUUGUGGUGAUUGUCAUUCUGCGAUCAAAUUGAUUGCAAAAGUCACCGGAAGGGAGAUCAUUUUAAGAGAUGCCAAUAGGUUUCACCAUUUUAAAGAUGGCCACUGUUCUUGCAAGGACUUUUGGUAGUUCCUUGAAACAGUCAC
RNAcentral lists this long non-coding RNA (474 nucleotides) under Lathyrus oleraceus (garden pea). Its description in RNAcentral is "Pisum sativum (pea) long non-coding RNA (PSAT_LNC032477)". The record is from RNAcentral. Lineage: Eukaryota; Viridiplantae; Streptophyta; Magnoliopsida; Fabales; Fabaceae.